AAAAAAUUAGUUGAUGAAGUAAAGGGAGAAAUCAAGCAACAAAUUAGAGUGAUGGGGAAAUUGCAUAAUGAGUAAUAAGAAUGAUUCUGUUUAAAAUUGAGCUUUCCAUGUUCAAGAAUAAAGCCUCAUAUUUAUAGGGAAAAAUUGGCCCUCUGACCCAAUCCUGUCAGAUUGUGAAAAAAUUAGGUGGGAUCAGGUUAAGGGUUACAGUAAGUGUUACAGAUUUUAGAGUUUUGAUAGUGUUAAAAGCUGUCUCAGCACGCCAUCAUCUUUAACUGAAAUAAAUAACUCAUAAAGCCUCCAAGACAGAAGUUCAUGUUUCUCGGGAUUGAAAAAUGGUGUGAAUUUCUUCUGUGGAGAUAUUUUUUGAAACACACACACACACACACACACACACACACACACACACACACCACACACACACACACACAAAACACAACACUGUAUGUAUGACAGUCUGAAGUGGUUUCUUUUAAGAAAUAGUUUCAGUCACCACAGAGGAAGCGUUUUCGACAUCAAACACUUUGGGUGUUGAAGAAUUCUGCAGUGUUUCUCCCUUGAAGUGAAGCUGAGGAACCCAGUGAGGGGGAGCAGGGAAAGAUCCGUUCUCCACACUGGAAGAACAACGGUUAUUCGUGGUCGGAGGUUUACCCAUGCAUCUAGCAUUUUUGAAAGAAGGAAUUAUCCCAGCUGUCAUCACAGACGCCACUGUAGAGCUGGUCUACGUUGUUUGCUCUCUGUUUCCUAUCACUUUGAGGUGAUGUCACUACCUAGCUGUUUCCACUUUAGCUGUGUCUGCACUUGUAAAAACACAACCCUUUUAUUGCUAUUUAUCAAUGUGCAAGGCAAAACUACUGGCCCAGUGGGAGACUUUUAAUGAGUACUUGCUAGCUUUGGAGGCUCGCUAUCACUCAGCAGAAUUUUUCUGAGCAGGAAAUUUCAAUGCAAGGAUAGGAAAAAAUGACUUUGCACCACUGCAUAUAAUGGGAUAUAGCUUGAACGAUUCCCUGCUUGACAUUCUUCCUCACUCCAGAUGUUCUAAGGAUUUCCAGAUUAAUUAUGCCUAGCUAAGUUUACUAUCUGUUCCGCAAAACUAUCCUAAAUGGAUCCUUGCCUCAGGACGACCCUGGUGAAUGCAUGUUCAGUUUUAACUAGAGGGAGCUGUGUCAUCGACAAAAUUCUUGUUUCUUCCUAACUGAGAGGCUGGUUUCUGAUCUCUGUGUUGGAGAACACAUACCCUGUUUCCCUGAAAAUAAGACCUAACCUGAAAAUAAGCCCUAGUAUGAUUUUUCAGGAUGCUCGUAAUAUAAGCCCUACCCCAAAAAUAAGCCCUAGUUAAGUGAAAGCCCACCCUCCACCAUUGUGCAGCAUUGUGCAGCAACCAGAAGAUGACAUGACUGUAUUUGAAUAAACGUAGAUUGUUGUACA
RNAcentral lists this long non-coding RNA (1428 nucleotides) under Pogona vitticeps (central bearded dragon). RNAcentral's name for it is "lncRNA (ENSPVIG00000008249.1)". Lineage: Eukaryota; Metazoa; Chordata; Lepidosauria; Squamata; Agamidae. The record is from RNAcentral.